CCCCUAGAUGUUCUGGGCCGCACGCGCGCUACACUGACCAGUGCAACAAGCAUCCGUCCUUGGCCGACAGGCUCGGGCAAUCUUUGAACGCUGGUCGUGAUGGGGAUAGACUUUUGCAAUUUUUGGUCUUCAACGAGGAAUUCCUAGUAAACGCAAGUCAUCAACUUGCGUUGAUUACGUCCCUGCCCUUUGUACACACCGCCCGUCGCACCUACCGAUUGAAUGGUCCGGUGAAGCCUCCGGAUUGGCGCGCACCUCGGUGCCGCCGAGAAGUUGGCUAAACCUUACCAUUUAGAGGAAGGUGAAGUCGUAACA
RNAcentral lists this ribosomal RNA (315 nucleotides) under uncultured eukaryote. Its description in RNAcentral is "partial 18S ribosomal RNA". It matches the Rfam family "Eukaryotic small subunit ribosomal RNA", at positions 1470 to 1796 of the family's 1831-position model. The record is from RNAcentral.